GCUCAUCUAGCUUAGUCGGCAGAGUUCAAGGCUUUUAACCUUAAGGUUGUGGGUUUGAGCCCCAUGGUGGGUG
Molecule: transfer RNA, 73 nt
Filed under: Zea mays
Lineage: Eukaryota; Viridiplantae; Streptophyta; Magnoliopsida; Poales; Poaceae
Rfam family: tRNA
About the family: Transfer RNA (tRNA) molecules are approximately 80 nucleotides in length. Their secondary structure includes four short double-helical elements and three loops (D, anti-codon, and T loops). Further hydrogen bonds mediate the characteristic L-shaped molecular structure. tRNAs have two regions of fundamental functional importance: the anti-codon, which is responsible for specific mRNA codon recognition, and the 3' end, to which the tRNAs corresponding amino acid is attached (by aminoacyl-tRNA synthetases). tRNAs cope with the degeneracy of the genetic code in two manners: having more than one tRNA (with a specific anti-codon) for a particular amino acid; and 'wobble' base-pairing, i.e. permitting non-standard base-pairing at the 3rd anti-codon position.
Source: Rfam by way of RNAcentral